This 619-nucleotide ribosomal RNA is filed under the name Bacillus sp. FJAT-17391. Its description in RNAcentral is "bacterial SSU rRNA". It matches the Rfam family "Bacterial small subunit ribosomal RNA", at positions 76 to 680 of the family's 1533-position model. Lineage: Bacteria; Bacillati; Bacillota; Bacilli; Caryophanales; Bacillaceae. The record is from RNAcentral.
GAGCUUGCUCCCUGAGAUUAGCGGCGGACGGGUGAGUAACACGUGGGCAACCUGCCUAUAAGACUGGGAUAACUUCGGGAAACCGGAGCUAAUACCGGAUACGUUCUUUUCUCGCAUGAGAGAAGAUGGAAAGACGGUUUACGCUGUCACUUAUAGAUGGGCCCGCGGCGCAUUAGCUAGUUGGUGAGGUAAUGGCUCACCAAGGCGACGAUGCGUAGCCGACCUGAGAGGGUGAUCGGCCACACUGGGACUGAGACACGGCCCAGACUCCUACGGGAGGCAGCAGUAGGGAAUCUUCCGCAAUGGACGAAAGUCUGACGGAGCAACGCCGCGUGAACGAAGAAGGCCUUCGGGUCGUAAAGUUCUGUUGUUAGGGAAGAACAAGUACCAGAGUAACUGCUGGUACCUUGACGGUACCUAACCAGAAAGCCACGGCUAACUACGUGCCAGCAGCCGCGGUAAUACGUAGGUGGCAAGCGUUGUCCGGAAUUAUUGGGCGUAAAGCGCGCGCAGGUGGUUCCUUAAGUCUGAUGUGAAAGCCCACGGCUCAACCGUGGAGGGUCAUUGGAAACUGGGGAACUUGAGUGCAGAAGAGGAAAGUGGAAUUCCAAGUGUAGCG